Molecule: ribosomal RNA, 369 nt
Filed under: Triticum aestivum (bread wheat)
Lineage: Eukaryota; Viridiplantae; Streptophyta; Magnoliopsida; Poales; Poaceae
Description: partial small subunit ribosomal RNA
Source: RNAcentral
AUGGCUGGGCUUGUCAUCUCCAAGGCUGGUGGAGGCUUCUCCAUCACCAAGUCAUGUGCGUCUGGACGUCCCAAGGCUGCUGCAGCUGGACGUCCCAAGGCGACUCCGGCGGCCAGAGCGGCUGAACUGCUUGUGUGCCGCACCCUAGGCAUCGUCAAAGAUGGGCAAGAUGUCACAGCUGCUGCCCUGGACGCUUUUGCCGAGCGCUUCAAGGAGCAGCUGCCGCCAGAUGUGAUCAUUGCCAUGAGAGGGUUGUUCAAGCUUGGCUGCAACAUCGCUACGGGCGUGGAGGAGGCCCUCAUUGCGCAUGGAGGAGAUGGUGCUCUCGACCUGGACGGCGGCACCGCGGCUCAGCUAGCUGAUGCUUGA